GACGUAGGGCGCGAGCGUUGUCCGGAUUUAUUGGGCGUAAAGAGCUCGUAGGCGGCUUGUUGCGUCGACCGUGAAAACCCGGGGCUCAACUUCGGGCUUGCGGUCGAUACGGGCGGGCUAGAGUUCGGUAGGGGAGACUGGAAUUCCUGGUGUAGCGGUGAAAUGCGUAGAGAUCAGGAGGAACACCCGUGGCGAAGGCGGCUCUCUGGGUCCGCCCUGACGCUGAGGCGCGAAAGCGUGGGGAGCGAACGGG
Molecule: ribosomal RNA, 253 nt
Filed under: uncultured bacterium
Lineage: Bacteria
Description: partial 16S ribosomal RNA
Rfam family: Bacterial small subunit ribosomal RNA
Source: RNAcentral